UACGCCACUCGAAACGCCGUCCUCGAAUUUCUUUGGAAGUCCGACCUUCUUAAACGCAUUUAGUCAUCUAUCAGUUUUCUAUUCUACUUUCCCCCUUUUCUCAUUUCGACCUCUCCAUCGCCAGUGCUUUUUGUGGCCUUCAUCAGAAGACCCGUAUCCGUGACAGUAUUCCCGCAGUGGAGGCACUCUAAACAUAGUCAAACAAACAAACAAACAAACAUUUCGUACGAGAUCGUAUAUAUCAUCUGAAGGCAUGCAACAAAACUAUUGCUAAUCUUUAGUUGCAUUUCCAUAGUCUAUUUUAAUUUUUGUUUUUUUUUUAAUGUUUUCAGAACAUUUGAAAUUAUUUAUUUCUCUUAGUUUCUAGGAGGGACCACAAACAGAAAAGUUAAUAGGCCUAUUAAGGAUAUAUUGGAUGCAGUUGACGAAACACUAAAGAUUGAUGACACAGAAGCUCACAUGGCAGUGUCGAACAGAUUGAGCACAGCUCGAUUAAUGUGUCAUACACAGCAAGGGGUGACACAGGUUCAAUUGAAGUGCUUGAAGGUGAAGGGAAUGCCAUGGCUCAUAUUCAAGUUAUGGAAGCACCAAUUUGAAGAUGUCCUUUGCUUAUCGCUCAUCAUGCCAUGCUGGAACGUCUUCUGUUUUCUGGUGGGCAGCCUGGCAGCUUCCCUUUUGUUUUUUAUACAAGGCCUCUACACCAGCCGGGCAGCUACAAAUUAUGUUAAGUUACCUUAUUUGGUGAUUUGUGUGGUUAAA
Molecule: long non-coding RNA, 759 nt
Organism: Daphnia magna
Lineage: Eukaryota; Metazoa; Arthropoda; Branchiopoda; Diplostraca; Daphniidae
Exons: 3
Source: RefSeq, a predicted model, not a curated record